This 253-nucleotide ribosomal RNA is filed under the name uncultured bacterium. RNAcentral's name for it is "partial 16S ribosomal RNA". It matches the Rfam family "Bacterial small subunit ribosomal RNA", at positions 524 to 776 of the family's 1533-position model. The record is from RNAcentral.
GACGGAGGGUGCAAGCGUUGUUCGGAAUUACUGGGCGUAAAGCGCGGGCAGGUGGCCAACUAAGUCAGACGUGAAAUCCCUCGGCUUAACCGGGGAACUGCGUCUGAUACUGGAUGGCUUGAGAUUGGGAGAGGGAUGCGGAAUUCCAGGUGUAGCGGUGAAAUGCGUAGAUAUUGGGAGGAACACCAGUGGCGAAGGCGGCUCACUGGACCGGAACUGACGCUGAGGCACGAAGGCCAGGGGAGCAAACGGG